AGAUGUGAGGGCUGUUGGGCUGUGACAUCUGUCACCCCACUGACCACCAGGGAUGAUUCGCCUGAUCUGGCUUGCUGGGCGGGUGUCUGCUUCCUCCCUCCUCUCUCCAUAUGCGUUCUUCUCAAAGCUUCAAGCAGAGGUGCUCAGCCAAAGAAGACAAGCACCUCUGGGGGAUGAGAGCCGUGUCCUUGGUCAAAGGUAUAGGAGUAGUUGCACUCCCCAGCUAGAACCUCCCAACAAACUCUUCAAGUGCUACCUCCAAGACUCGUCCUUACAGUGUCUGAGGACUAUGUAUCCUGUGCCAGUUGCUUGAGAAACUCGGCUCCACACACAGGAUAGAUCUAUCCGUUUGUGU
Molecule: small nuclear RNA, 355 nt
Filed under: Chinchilla lanigera (long-tailed chinchilla)
Lineage: Eukaryota; Metazoa; Chordata; Mammalia; Rodentia; Chinchillidae
Description: 7SK RNA (ENSCLAG00000021779.1)
Rfam family: 7SK RNA
About the family: 7SK was discovered as an abundant small nuclear RNA in the mid-70s but a possible function has only recently been suggested. Two independent studies have found that 7SK RNA binds the CDK9/cyclin T complex (known as elongation factor P-TEFb).
Source: RNAcentral